This 244-nucleotide ribosomal RNA is filed under the name uncultured bacterium. RNAcentral describes it as "partial 16S ribosomal RNA". It matches the Rfam family "Bacterial small subunit ribosomal RNA", at positions 528 to 772 of the family's 1533-position model. The record is from RNAcentral.
GAAGGUCCGGGCGUUAUCCGGAUUUAUUGGGUUUAAAGGGAGCGUAGGCGGACUUUCAAGUCAGUGGUAAAAUCGUGUGGCUCAACCAUACCUCGCCAUUGAAACUGGAAGUCUGGAGUGCACACAGGGGUGCCGGAAUUCAUGGUGUAGCGGUGAAAUGCUUAGAUAUCAUGAAGAACUCCGAUCGCGAAGGCAAGUGCCCGGGGUGCAACUGACGCUGAGGCUCGAAGGUGCGGGUAGCGAA